CCUACGGGAGGCAGCAGUGAGGAAUAUUGGUCAAUGGGCGCGAGCCUGAACCAGCCAAGUAGCGUGAAGGAUGACUGCCCUACGGGUUGUAAACUUUAUUUAUAAAGGAAUAAAGUGAGGCACGUGUGCCUUUUUGUAUGUCCUUUUUGAUUAAGGAUCGGCUAACUCCGUGCCAGCAGCCGCGGUAAUACGGAGGAUCCGAGCGUUAUCCGGAUUUAUUGGGUUUAAAGGGAGCGUAGAUGGGUUGUUAAGUCAGUUGUGAAAGUUUGCGGCUCAACCGUAAAAUUGCAAUUGAUACUGGCAGCCUUGAGUACAGUUGAGGUAGGCGGAAUUCGUGGUGUAGCGGUGAAAUGCUUAGAUAUCACGAAGAACUCCGAUGGCGAAGGCAGCUUACUAAACUGCCACUGACAUUGAUGCUCGAAAGUGUGGGUAGCAAACAGGAUUAGAUACCCUGGUAGUC
Molecule: ribosomal RNA, 460 nt
Filed under: uncultured bacterium
Lineage: Bacteria
Description: partial 16S ribosomal RNA
Rfam family: Bacterial small subunit ribosomal RNA
Source: RNAcentral